GAUACCUACGGGAGGCAGCAGUGAGGAAUAUUGGUCAAUGGGCGGGAGCCUGAACCAGCCAAGUCGCGUGAGGGAAGACGGUCCUAUGGAUUGUAAACCUCUUUAGGCGGGGAGCAAUGCCGGGCACGUGUGCCCGGAGGGAGAGUACCCGCAGAAUAAGCAUCGGCUAACUCCGUGCCAGCAGCCGCGGUAAUACGGAGGAUGCGAGCGUUAUCCGGAUUUAUUGGGUUUAAAGGGUGCGUAGGCGGUUCGAUAAGUUAGAGGGGAAAUCCCGGGGCUCAACUCCGGCACUGCCUCUGAUACUG
Molecule: ribosomal RNA, 305 nt
Filed under: uncultured bacterium
Lineage: Bacteria
Description: bacterial SSU rRNA
Rfam family: Bacterial small subunit ribosomal RNA
Source: RNAcentral